AGGUGCGCACGUUAGCGGCGCCUCCCUUCCCUAGAAUGGUAGUCAUGGCCAGCCGUCUAGACGCCUUCGUUAAAUCCAUCAUUUUCCCUCGCCCUAAAAUUGCCACCUACGACACCUCCACUCAUCCCAACAAGCUCGUGCACAUCCCUCUCGUCGACCCACACCGACAUGUCGAAAACGGUGCGUUCACCUACGGCUACCUGCUGGCAAACCCCAAGGCAACUCAUGUGCUCUUGUACGCCCACCCCAAUGCCGUGGACAUCGGCAUGGCCUACAAGGAGCUCCGCUACGUGAGCAAAGAGGCGUCCAUCAGCGUGCUACUGUUCGAGUACUCGGGCUAUGGACUCACCCACACCCCCAUAACAGAAGCAAGUAUUCACCAAGACACGCUUUCCGCCUACCUCUUCCUGCGCCGCUACUUUGGGGUGCCAUCGAACCGCGUAAUUCUCUGUGGCCGCUCUCUCGGCGCCUCGCCCGCCGCAUUUCUGGCUGCUUUUCUUCCACCACAGCAGCGGCCAUGCCUACUUAUUCUCCAAUGCCCCUUCACCGCGCUUAGCGAGUGCAUCAACGAGUUCUCGCAGAACGCCGUGUCCAUCGCGAACUUUCUAGGGUACAACUGGUUUCGAACGAUUGACAUCAUCACAGACGUGAGUUGCCCGGUCGUGCUUCAUCACGGCACUAACGAUACCACUGUGAGGAUCGAUCACUCCUACACUCUGCAGCGGGCCCGCGACACCGCUGCGAAACCGUGCGUCACCUACCUGUACCGAGAGGACGGCAAAGGCCACAACAACCUCAGCUCCGCCACUUUGGUGCGGAUACUUCGAGAGCGUGUCGUAACGGAGGCUCUGCUGCCGCUGCUACUGCCCCACACGAAGCUGUUCUUGGCGAACGCGCCCGUCUACGCGCGGCUUUUCUGCGACGAUAGCGGAAUGGGGUUCGCCACGCUGAGCGACGCCGUAGCAUCCUGGUUGGCGAAGUUGUCCCUCCACAUUUGCGCACCGCCGCUCGAUCAGCUGUAUGUCCUGCUGACCGCAAGCGUCUGCGCCUUCACGAUGGAGUGCGCGCGAGCGUGGCAGAUUUACUGCGCGCUCAUCAGGAAGAACUUGUGUGGCGACGCGGCACACGAACGGUGCACCAAGGACGUGUUUCUUCAUCGGUGCCUGGCGUGCUGGGGGAGCCCCCUCGCUGUCCACGUCGCUGUCGAGCGCGUACAGUCAACGAAAGAGGUCCGCUGCUUCGGCUUCGCCACCUGCCGGGACGCGAUGCUGGACGCACCGGCUAUGUACCCGGCAAAGUCCCCUGAGGCGCUGCUAACUGUGCUGGAAAUCGGUGUCACGCCAGGGCUGCUGUCCUGCAUGAAGCGGUGCCUCAACACCGCUCCCGACAUGCUGGAAGAGCAUGCGAUGCCAUGCUUUGUGCAGCAAGACACAGUUAGCGCGGUGCAGCUGGAGUGUGAGCGUGCUGUGGCGUUUCUGACCGAGGACGACAAGCAGCGUCUGUGUGCCUUGCUAAAGGACAUGGACUCCGGCUUUAGCGACAAUCUGUCCAGCAAGGCUUAUGAGCGGCUGCGGCGCUCACCUUCCACGUCUCCCCAAAUGAGCGCAGAGUCGUUCGAAGAGCUGAAGGAGUGGCUGCGGCCGUGGACCUCCACACGCGGAACAGACAUGCAUGCACUGGCUCAGGAGGUACCGUGGGACGACUAUCUGCUGCGCAGUCGGUCCGUUGCUCGGCAGCACGUGCUGAAUGAGAGCAUGAGCUGGGAGGAGUGCUGCCAGGCAAUGGAGGAGAGCGAUGUGGUUUCCAAAAUCUACACUCUCUUUCAGGAAAUGUCAGCACAGUACCUGCGGCCUACCUUUCACCCUCACCCCACAGCGUCCGUGGAGUCCCGUGCGUAAGAGGCGGCUCGACAGCCACGUUCUUUUUUUUACGUGCCAUCAUUAACACUGUCGCCGACCCUUGCAUCUUUCGACUUGACCAGGUUAAUCAACUCCCCUAGGAUGGCCUGCUUCUCCAGCGCGCGGUAUGUCAGGGCCCAUCACCGACACUCUGCGAGGAAGCAAGGCAGCUCGCUGCCUGCUCUCCGGUACGGCAGCGGGCUUUUGGUGUCGGCGCACAGAUCUGGGCUGGCGUUGCGCGGAAGUGCCUUGCAAUCGCGACCUCGUUUUGGGGCCAGCUCACUACGUCUCGUGCCGACGCUUUAACAGGUGUACGCGUGCACCUGCUGUUUUUCUGCGUCCGGUGCGCUGCGGUGCUGUUGAGCAUGGUCCUGGACGUGGCCUGCGCUGUCUGCAGUGACAUAGCACUGAGCUGAGUGACGCCAAGCGGUGCUGGCUGGCUAGCUUUCCUGACGAGUCUUCGAUGGAAGCCUGUAUUCCACCAGAGACUGCUUUCACCCCGACAG
Molecule: unclassified non-coding RNA, 2404 nt
Filed under: Leishmania donovani
Lineage: Eukaryota; Euglenozoa; Kinetoplastea; Trypanosomatida; Trypanosomatidae
Description: gene:LdHU3.12.1720(CDS-product:serine_peptidase_C lan_SC_Family_S9D)
Source: RNAcentral